CCGGCUCCGGUUGAAAGUACAUUUGAGCAAUCAAUUGUUUGUGCAACUUGAUCUCAUUGAUGAUCUCCUGCGCUGCCCCGUUGACGAAGACGACGAAGUAUCAUCGAACCCUUCGUUCAUUUUUUAAAGGUAAAGAAUGAAAAUGUAGUAGAGAAAGAGGGAAAGUUUAAAUGUGUGAAUGAAGUGGAGAAGUGAGGGAUAUUUAUAGUGAGGGAAAUAAAAAAUAUAUAUAAAAGAGAGAGAGAGAGAGAGAGAGAGAGAGAGAGAGAGAGAGAGAAAGAGAGUAGAAAGCCGUUAGGGAUUCUUGGGAAUCAAAAGGAAAGAAAAAAAUUCGAUUUUUUUUUCAAAUAGACGCAUGUGUGGCACGCGCCAAUUCUUAAAGCUAUCAGGGCAUACCCGAUCUAUCGGGUCUCCCUCGAGUAAGGAGGAGUUGCAGUGGGGUACUCGAUCUCCCACUUACUCGAGUAGGUGGGAUCGAGUACCCCACUGUGGGUGCUCUUAGUUAUGGUCUUUCAAACUUUAUAUGAGAUAAUGUUCACGAAUCAAUUUUAUUCUUUCAAAUUUCAAACGAGGUGGUGCUCGAAACUCAUUUAUGAUAUUUCAAACUUCACAUGAAAUAAUGCACAAGCAUUUGUCAAGAUUUUUCAAGUUGCAUACAAUAUAUAUGUUUAGAAGUAGUUAUGAUCCUACAAGCUUAAGAUGAUAAUAAUCUUUAAAGUUCCACACGAGAUCAUUUUUGUAACUUAGUUGUGGUCAUUAAAAGUUCAAAUGAGAUGAUACUCACAAGUUAAAUGUGUAAUUAUUUACAACAGUUGAUUUCUUAAUCUUUAAAGUUCCACACCAGAUAAUUUUUGUAACUUAGCUGUGGUCAUUAAAAGUUCAAAUGAGAUGAUACUCACAAGUUAAAUGUGUUAUUUCAAACUCCAAAUGAAAUGAUUCUUGGAACCCAAUUAUAAUAUUUGAAGCUAAUAAUGCAUAAAAUUUUGUCAAGAUUUUUUCAAGUUCCAUACAAAAUGAUGUUUACAAGUUAGUUAUGAUGUUGGAAGCUCCAAAUCAUACAAUCUCACAAGUCAACUUUGAGUUUUAAAGCUCCAAAUAGUGGUGUUAAAAAAAUUGACGCAUAAAAACUCAAUUUUUGUAUUUUAAGGUCUACGCGCUGCUCAAAAGUCUGGUGUUCAAACGUUAGAUAUCGUCUUUCAGACAUUAGAUGAUGAUAUGAUCCUACAUAGUUUAGACGAGAUGAUGCUCACAUGAAGAAAAUCAUCAAUCUUAUAUCAACCUUUUUCAAAACAUUAUUAAAUAAAAAUUUAUAUAAAAAUAAUAUUUAUUAUUCUAACAAAAAGUUAACAUUUAAUUAAAGAAUAUGGUUCAAAUUAAUAUAAUUUCAAUUAUAUUAUCUCAAAUUAAAUAAAUUUAAAAAUAAUUUAUAUAAAAAUAAUUUCUUAUAUAAAAAUAAUAUCAUAUAAUUUAAAAUAUAAAAUAAUUAUCUGUCGAAAUUACAUACUUUGUAUUUUAUAAGUAGUUACAGACAAUAUGGUAGGUGUUUUAGCGUAUAUCUUGUAAUUAAAUCUCGUAUAUGGCAUUCCUAUUAAGGCCUUUCGCUAUUUUGAUUUGUUGAUCAAUCAAUUUCAUUAUUUAAAUCUACGCUAGGGUACGUCUGUCUCAGGUGUCACGUAUGUGCUUCUUGUCAUUUAUAGGUUUGUCCACACGAAAAAUGAAAUGAAAUAAUACUCAAUUCUAUCUGUUUUUAAUUCUUAGAAUGCGAUCACUCAACCUUCUCCCUGUCGUAUUAAAUUAACCAAAGCAAAAGACAAAAAUAUACCGUCAUCUGCCAUCAUCAAUGCAUGUGAAUACCAUCUAGUACGAGGCUGUACCUAAUUAAUCGAUUUUAGGAGAACAUAUAUAAUUCAUAAACUUUUCUUUCAAAUAGGCUUCUUCCAACAUUUUAGGUUAAUUUUGUUGGUUAUCCUUGACAUCAUCUAAUGAUACGCAGCGGAAAUAACAGUCAAGGAUUAGAUCUAGAUUUACAAUUUAUUCAUGUGUAGAGAUAGGCAAACGUACACAACAAUAAGAAUAACUUACUUGUUAUGUGGUAAACGUGCGUCUCGAUUCGUGUCGUGAAUCCACUACUAAGGUAUCCACGUGCAUGUCGAUUCGAUGCAGGAACAAUUCCCAGUGCAUGUUUCAAUCUUCGACAGCUAGGAAAUCUCCGAUUGAAACCAUAGUACUCUCUUAGUGUUUGCAAGCCAAAAGCUCUAAGCUAAUGUUUUCGUAUAUUUUCAUAUAUCGAUUCGUAAGACCAAGCUCCCUUAUUUAUAAGCGAAGAAGACAAUUCUAAAUUGUCUUGUCUUCCUUAGUCAACAAUUACGACUAAGGAAUUCACACUUGAGUCAACAAUUACGACUAAGGAAUUCACACUUGAACUGUCUUACUUAGUAUUAGAAUAUAUCAAAUAUAUCCUAAUCUAGUCC
Molecule: long non-coding RNA, 2471 nt
Filed under: Salvia miltiorrhiza (redroot sage)
Lineage: Eukaryota; Viridiplantae; Streptophyta; Magnoliopsida; Lamiales; Lamiaceae
Description: long non-coding RNA (SMIL_LNC008561)
Source: RNAcentral